CAGAAGAGGCAUUUCGCCAUGUUAAAAGACUGGAGGAAGAUGUUAUUCAUCUCCCAAAAGAGGAUGAAAAUGAUAUGUCUAACAAACAUGAGGAGCAAUUGGAAGAUGAAUUGCACCCCUAUGGGUAUGGUAACGAUGAUUGUGAAAGAUUGGGAGGAUUCAUUAAGGAAAAUGACAUGACAGAAAGAAUCGAUAAGUUCAACCAAGAGGAGAUUAUCUCAUAUGAAUCUGCUCAAGCUUCUCACUGGUCAGAAGAGGUAUUUCACCAUGUUGAAAGAGUGGAGGAAGGUGACAUAAAUUUCACAAAAGUGGAUGAUGAAAAUGAUAUGUCUAACAAACGUGAGGAACAACAUGCACUGAACCCCAAUGGGGAUGUAAAGGAUGAAUGGGAUCGAGUGGCAGGGUACAAUGAAGAGAAUGGAAUUGGAGAAAGAAUGGAUGAUUGGAAAGAAGCAAAGUAUCAUGUGAAAGAGGAAGAGAUGUGGAAUAACAGAGAAGCCCAACCCAAUCGGUCUGAUCAAGAGUAUAUACCUUCAAAUGAAGAGAAACAAAAUCUAUUCGAGCAAGAGCAAAUACCUUCAGGCAGAGAGAAACUGAAUCAGUCUGAGCAAAGGUAUAUCAAUUCAAACGGAGAGAAACUGAAUCAAUCUGAGCAAGAACAUAUACCUUCAGGCGGAGAGAAACUGAAUCAAUCCGAGCCAGAGUACAUAACUUCAGGCGGAGAGAAACGGAAUCAAUCCGAGCAAGAGAAUAUACCUUUAGGUGGAGAGAAACGGAAUCAAUCUGAACAAGAGAAGAUACCUUCAGGAGGAGAGAAACUGAAUCAAUCUGAGCCAGAGUAUAUAAUUUCAGGCGGAGAGAAACUGAAUCAAUCUGAACAAGAGGAUAUAACUUCAGGCGGCGAGACACUGGAUAUAUGUGAGCAAGAACAUAUACCCUCAGACAGAGAGAAAAUGAAUCAAUCCGAGCAAGAAAAUAUACCUUUAGGUGGAGAAAAACUGAAUCAAUUCGAGCAAGAAAAUAUACCUUUAGGUGGACAGAAACUGAAUCAAUUCGAGCCAGAGUAUAUAAUUUCAGGCGGAGAGAAACUGAAUCAAUCUGAACAAGAGAAUAUACCUUUAGGCGGAGAGAAACUGGAUAUAUGUGAGCAAGAACACAUACCCUCAGACAGAGAGAAAAUGAAUCAAUCCGAUCCCGAGUAUAUACCUUCAGGUGCAGAGACACUGAAUCAGUCUGAGCAAGAGUGUAUACCUUCAGGUGCAGAGAAACUGAAUCAGUCUGAGCAAGAGUGUAUACCUUCAGGUGCAGAGAAACUGAAUCAGUCUGAGCAAGAGUGUAUACCUUCAGGUGCAGAGAAACUGAAUCAGUCUGAGCAAGAGUGUAUACCUUCAGGUGGAGAGAAACUGAAUCAGUCUGAGCAAGAGUGUAUACCUCCAGGUGCAGAGAAACUGAAUCAGUCUGAGCAAGAGUGUAUUUCCUCAGAGGUUAUGUAUUCGGUGCACUCUAGGAUUCUAAUGACAUCUGAUCACACAUCUCUUAGAGAAGGUUCAGUAGAAAUAUCCCAAGAAGAAUAUUUGGCUCAAGGUAAGGUAUUCAGUGGGGGACUGGGAACUGAAGCUGUACCAGACAAAAUAGAAGGACAGGAUGACCAGAACCUUUAUAUGUCGACUCAUGCAGACUUCACUGAAAGCCAUUCUAUCUACAGCAGUUUAAACAGCAGGCCUGAGAGUCAAACCGACAAGAACAACUUGGAUAUAGAAGAGUCCAACAGCACAGAUGAUGAGUCGCCAAAUGCAAGCCAGUAUUUGCAACCUGUCACCAAAGCAAAUCUAACUGCAGAUCAGGAAGACUUGUUAGAUGUGGCAGUCUCUCACUAUGAGGAUUGCAAUACUCUUAUUGAACAUUCUGCAGAAGAGGUCACUAGCUAUCAGGCAAGUAAUGAAUGUCUUCAGACAGAUGAAUGGGAAGUCUUAGAAAGUCCAAACAAACACCUGGAAUCUGGAGAUCCUUUUGCAGGUCACAAGAGAUACUCUGAGAGAUCAUCCAAAACUGACAGCGAAGCCCGGGACCUCCACAGCUUCCUCAGCUCUGGUGUACACAACAACUUCUGGGGUUCCAAUCUGGAGACAGGAGCCCCCUAUCAACCGGAUGAGCCAUAUGACCAUGUGACCGAGCUACCCAAUCAGAACCUAGCCUUGGCUAACAACCUAUCCUGGGUGGAUUUGGAGAAUCCACAGGCAACUAAUUGGAACACAAAGAUGGACAGCGACACACCUAAAGCUUCCACCCUUGAAGAAGAGGACAAACAGAUGCCCUCACAGGUGAAGCAGCUGGUUUGUAAAGAUGUGGUAGAGGGUGUGAAUGUUACUUCUGAAGGUUCUGAAGAUGGAGACUCCUGGUCAUCUGGGGAAGAAUAGGAACAAUUUCAGCAUGGUUUUUAUAAAGGAGUAAAGUAGAAGUAACAAGUGUUACUGAGAGUGUAAAACUAUUUACAUUUUACAGGCUUUGAAUUUGAGCAUUGAUUCACAUUGAGCCUCACAGUGGAAAGUAAAUGAAAUGAUAAUUUCAUCCAAACAUGAAUGUACUAUGUCACAGAAUGUCAUGACAAUUCAGUGCUCUCCGGGAUCCUUGGGAUGUCCCUACCCUAAACCCUAACUAUAACCAUAAUUCUUACCUACACCAUUUAAAAUGUCAACUUCAAUGGGAUUCCCAAGGAUGCGAGAUAGCACAGACCGUCAAAUAUUUAUGCUGUUUUCAAAAACCAAAAAGUUGUGCUUUGGUGCACACCCUGCUGGCACUAACCACCAGUGUACCUACUCCAUUUCAAGACAUUGAGGGCCAUUUUUUGUAAGUUUUACAAAUUGAUGUUUGAAUAGCAUUUGUUUAUUCCCCCCGAAGAACAAAAGUAACUUAAUUAAAAACCAAAGAAAGGACAUUUGAAAGUCAAAGCAUUCUGAACUGGCAUUAAUUGAUAGUUGAUUUGAUUGCACUGAUUGAAGGAAAUCAAAGUGAGAACCAAGGUAUUUCACUGCACAAGACCUGCAAGCUUGUUUUUUCUAGCAGCAACUGUUACCUUAACAUCUUAAGUCCAUUUGAUAAGGACUCCAGCUGUGCCUUCAGAAAGUAUUCAUACCCCUUGACUUACUCCAUUGAAUAGUGUUAUUUAUGAUUUAUCAUUUGAUAUUUUAACUCACACACUAAGCAGCAAAUCAAAUCAAAUUGUAUUAGUCACAUGCGCCGAAUACAACAGGUGUAGUAGACCUUACAGUGAAAUGCUUACUUACGAGCCCCUAACCGACAGUGCCUGUUUAAAAAAAUACAGAUAAGAAUAAGAGAUAAAAGUAACAAGUAAUUAAAGAGGAACAGUAAAAAAAUAACAAUAUAUACAGGGGGAUGCCGGUACAGAGUCAAUGUGCAGGGGCACCGGUUAGUUGAGGUAGUAUGUACAUGUAGGUAGAGUUAUUAAAGUGAUUAUGCAUAGAUGACAACAGAGAGUGGCAGUGGUGUGGAGGGGGGGGGGAUGUGAAUAGUCUGGGUAGCCAUUUGACUAGAUGUUCAGCAGUGCAUGGUUUGAAAUCCCA
Long non-coding RNA from Oncorhynchus tshawytscha (Chinook salmon), 3581 nucleotides. Lineage: Eukaryota; Metazoa; Chordata; Actinopteri; Salmoniformes; Salmonidae. The record is from Ensembl.